RNAcentral lists this transfer RNA (99 nucleotides) under Methylobacterium iners. RNAcentral describes it as "tRNA-Val". Lineage: Bacteria; Pseudomonadati; Pseudomonadota; Alphaproteobacteria; Hyphomicrobiales; Methylobacteriaceae. The record is from RNAcentral.
GUGGCGCCGAGCUCUUCGGCCGCGGCGGCGACGGCGUUGACGUUGCCGGAGGUCUCCCGGGCGGCGGAGGCCACCGCGUUCGAGCGGCGGGCGGUGCCC